Molecule: transfer RNA, 76 nt
Filed under: Maioricimonas rarisocia
Lineage: Bacteria; Pseudomonadati; Planctomycetota; Planctomycetia; Planctomycetales; Planctomycetaceae
Description: Planctomycetes bacterium Mal4 tRNA-His
Rfam family: tRNA
About the family: Transfer RNA (tRNA) molecules are approximately 80 nucleotides in length. Their secondary structure includes four short double-helical elements and three loops (D, anti-codon, and T loops).
Source: RNAcentral
GUGGGCAUAGCUCAGUUGGUUAGAGCACCAGAUUGUGGUUCUGGGGGUCGCCGGUUCAAAUCCGGUUGCCCACCCC